AGAUUGAACGCUGGCGGCAGGCCUAACACAUGCAAGUCGAGCGGUAGAGAGGUGCUUGCACCUCUUGAGAGCGGCGGACGGGUGAGUAAUGCCUAGGAAUCUGCCUCGUGGUGGGGGAUAACGUUCGGAAACGGACGCUAAUACCGCAUACGUCCUACGGGAGAAAGCGGGGGACCUUCGGGCCUCGCGCCAUUAGAUGAGCCUAGGUCGGAUUAGCUAGUUGGUGAGGUAAUGGCUCACCAAGGCGACGAUCCGUAACUGGUCUGAGAGGAUGAUCAGUCACACUGGAACUGAGACACGGUCCAGACUCCUACGGGAGGCAGCAGUGGGAAUAUUGGACAAUGGGACGAAAGCCUGAUCCAGCCAUGCCGCGUGUGUGAAGAAGGUCUUCGGAUUGUAAAGCACUUUAAGUGGAAGGAAGGUUGUAAACUUAAGUACGUUAGCAACUUUUGAACGUUUACCGAAUAGAAAUAAGCAACCGGCUAAACUUCGUAGUCAGCAGCCGUA
Molecule: ribosomal RNA, 507 nt
Filed under: uncultured soil bacterium
Lineage: Bacteria
Description: bacterial SSU rRNA
Rfam family: Bacterial small subunit ribosomal RNA
Source: RNAcentral